UACCUAUGCUUCACAAUUUUCUACUUCUUAAUCAAACCAAACUCUUUUAUAUAAUCAAAUUUUAAUUUCUUUAUCAAAAUAUUUGCAACAGGAGCGGUGUCUGCAGGAGCUCCUGCAGCAGGAGGGGCUCCAGCCUGGGGCCGGCUGCAGGAACCGAAGCUGCUGCUGCUUUCCCUCUCCCAGAGGCCACACUGAGGGCUCAGGUGUCCGUUGACUGCAUCUGGCUGAGGUGUGCCAGGUGGACUGUCUCUGGCUGUGUUCUCCUGGUGGCGGGUGGAUGCUUGCUGCCUUUGGCGAGGAGCUGCUGCGGCUGAAGCCAAAGAGAUCAGAAGAAGGUGAAGCAGCUGGAGAAUGAGGACGGCUGGCCCUCUGUCUCUCUCCAGCUGCAAGCAAGAGGGCAGACCUCUGCGGGGGAGGAGGGAUCCCUCUGCGUAGUCCUCGGCAGACCAGAUCACCAACGUGCACCGUGGGCUCUGUGGAGGACAGGCAAGUGACUGGAGCUGCAGAAGGGGAAGGCAGGAAAGGACACACAGACAGAGAAGGAAGUGCCAGAACUGUAAAGUUUGCCUGGUAAUGCAGAGAGUCAGCGCUCCGUCCAUGUUGAUCAAGAUGCUCAGUGGAAUCCUGUUCCUGAGGUUGGGGGGAAUCCCAGAGCUGUCCGUGGAGACAGGGGUUACUUGACUUCUCAACUUGAGCCUGUCCGUGAGCCUUGGGGCGAUCCCACAGAUGUGGCUGCAGGCGAUGGUUAUCCAGCUUCCUGGCUGGGUUUCAGGGCUGACCCACAGGCAGGUCGCAUGGAUGUGGCCAGACGGAGGGCUUUUCCAGCUCCUUGGCUGAAUCCUGGGCUGAAUCCCAGCUGGCAUCCCAGGGAGACCAACCGUAAGACUGUGCAGAAGGAGGCCUUUCAGAAGGGAAGCAGGCACACCGUGCCAGUCUCCGAUGAAGAAAGAGAGGCAAUGCAAGAGACUGGCAUGCCAGGGGCAGAUGCUGGGAGAAGGUCUGAGGCUGCUGGUCACGAAUUGCUGCACAAGUACUAUAUCCCAGUGACUGCAGUAGCCUUGGCUGUGGUGCUGUCUGGGCUAGUUGGAUCUUGCAUAGUCAUUUCACGGCUGAGGAAG
Molecule: long non-coding RNA, 1118 nt
Organism: Harpia harpyja (harpy eagle)
Lineage: Eukaryota; Metazoa; Chordata; Aves; Accipitriformes; Accipitridae
Exons: 8
Source: RefSeq, a predicted model, not a curated record